GCCUCCUUAGUGUAGUAGACAGCACGUCAGUCUCGUAAUCUGAAGGUUCUGAGUUCAAACCUCAGAGAAGGCA
Molecule: transfer RNA, 73 nt
Filed under: Mus caroli (Ryukyu mouse)
Lineage: Eukaryota; Metazoa; Chordata; Mammalia; Rodentia; Muridae
Description: tRNA-Thr (CGT) (tRNA-Thr-CGT-5-1)
Rfam family: tRNA
About the family: Transfer RNA (tRNA) molecules are approximately 80 nucleotides in length.
Source: RNAcentral